This 468-nucleotide ribosomal RNA is filed under the name uncultured bacterium. RNAcentral's name for it is "partial 16S ribosomal RNA". It matches the Rfam family "Bacterial small subunit ribosomal RNA", at positions 28 to 507 of the family's 1533-position model. The record is from RNAcentral.
GACGAACGCUGGCGGCGUGCUUAACACAUGCAAGUCGAACGGAAAGGCCCUGCUUUUGUGGGGUGCUCGAGUGGCGAACGGGUGAGUAACACGUGAGUAACCUGCCCUUGACUUUGGGAUAACUUCAGGAAACUGGGGCUAAUACCAGAUAGGAGCUCCUGCUGCAUGGUGGGGGUUGGAAAGUCUCGGCGGUUGGGGAUGGACUCGCGGCUUAUCAGCUUGUUGGUGGGGUAGUGGCUUACCAAGGCUUUGACGGGUAGCCGGCCUGAGAGGGUGACCGGCCACAUUGGGACUGAGAUACGGCCCAGACUCCUACGGGAGGCAGCAGUGGGGAAUAUUGCACAAUGGGCGGAAGCCUGAUGCAGCAACGCCGCGUGCGGGAUGACGGCCUUCGGGUUGUAAACCGCUUUCGCCUGUGACGAAGCGUGAGUGACGGUAAUGGGUAAAGAAGCACCGGCUAACUACGUG